CUAAAACACAGAAUACCAAUGACUCUUAGACUCAUUCCCGGGCCUCCGGCUGACCACGGGAAAGGGGAUCUUCAGGAGCGGGUGUCUCAUGGCUGGGAAGAGGACGGCACAGGAGGGCUGGGGAACCCGAAUUGCAGCCUGAAUGGCCAGUGUCCUUUCUCCAGAAUGCAGUUCUCCCUUGCUCAGAAGAAAUGAGUCUGCCAGUGGGUACAACAUGAGAUGAUACUUCCACCCCCAUUGGUGACAGCCCUCACCUAGCUAUCAAGACAGUGUUCGACUUCCUUCACUCCUUCCAGGGGCCAGCAUGUGGCUGGCCACUGUCCACCCUCAGGGGUUGUGAACUGAAUUAAAGGGUUGCGUCCUUCAUCCAUUUUCUUUGCUGAACUGUCUUGAAUUUUACCCUAAGUUCAAAAUGAAGCAGACCAUAGCUGAGUUUAAAGGAGAUCCGAUUGACAUUGGGAAGUGGCACCCAAUAAGAUGGCUGUUUCUUCCGCCUGCUCCAGGGCUCGCCAACAGGAGAACUGAAAGCUGAAGCAUCUCAACCUGCAGAUACAUCUCAAAGGCCCCUUCAGCCGAUGUCCUCAGUGCCCUUGACACAGCCCCUUGGCACUUGCCUUCCACACACAUGCUGCUGCACCAGUUUCCUCCUGGUAGCAUCUUCCUUUCCGCCUGAGGAUUUCCCAGGCAUCCUGCCUCCAAGAAAGUCAGAAGUCAGUGCCUUCCUGAGAGCCGGUGAGAGCUCCGUCUCCCUUGGGCAAGUGGUGCUGAUGCCUGUUCCCUGCAUCCAUCUCUCAGAAGCCACAGCAGAACUGAGCUCCAGGGGCCACUGCGAUACACCUUCGCAAUGGUGACCACAAGAAUCCACUCAGCCUUGGAAGCUGUCCUUGAAACUCACCCUGAAAUCCCUGCCUAGCAGACAGGAGACCUCAGGCUGGACUCCACUCACUAUGUUAUCUCGGCCUCCCCGGGACUCUUAGGACACGACUUUCUUAAUCUUUCCAAGGGGCUAAGCUUAACCAAAAGGAAAUACUGCAUAAGAUGUGUGAAUACUUCAAGAUCUGUGGAAUAUGAAGCUGAAAACAGCUCUGUGUUUAGAAAUGGUUACCGUGCAUGUGUCUGUUUCCCCGAACUAGCACCAGAGCCUCGGUUUGAGGGUCUGUAUUUGAUCCUUUUCUCCUUAGAAAAGAGAGACCUUGUUGAAGGAAUGUUCUUUUUCCAGAGGAAAUUUGGGAAACAAAACGGUCACCUUAAAAACAGCAGCACAAGAAAGUUUGUCCUUAAAUUUAAAUUUUCUUUCAAGCCAGGAAUUAAAGCAAAGGUGGGAGUGGAAGAAUCUCUUCAGAUUGUAACUCUUGAAAUUUCCAGGCUAAGGGAAGUCACUGUGGGAGCAUUCGAGCAGAUUGGUGGUCACCACUGGGGAUUCUAGGAAAGACACGUUUCUUCAUGUUUUUAAUCUCAUCCUUUAAUUCCAAUUUCGGUGUAUGUUAUAUGUUUUGUAAGGUAUUCUAACAUUAAA
Molecule: long non-coding RNA, 1516 nt
Filed under: Homo sapiens (human)
Lineage: Eukaryota; Metazoa; Chordata; Mammalia; Primates; Hominidae
Description: non-protein coding lnc-FOXA2-3:3
Source: RNAcentral